Amyelois transitella is the source of this 6157-nucleotide RNA transcript. It is a transcript of the gene named protein stum, with no coding region annotated. The transcript has 11 exons. Lineage: Eukaryota; Metazoa; Arthropoda; Insecta; Lepidoptera; Pyralidae. The record is from RefSeq and is a predicted model, not a curated record.
AUGGCUUUAAAACUGAAAUACAAGGACGAGCACGGGAUUCUCCACAUCAACAUGAGUCCAUCGGGAACCCCGAAGGAGCCGGAGCCACCCGAACCCCCUGAAAAAGCGGACAUAACCGACCCCAAGUUCGACUCCAUCAACUCUCGCUUCGGCCAGUACGACUUAUUCGGGGGCAAAUAUGACGACAGUGGUGGGGAUACGCCACAGUCGCUUUUCAGAAGCCGCUACAACAGCAUAGAGGAGGAAUUGGCUAAUACGCCUUACGCUUUCGCUACAGAACGGUCGCUCAGACUGAACAAUACAAACACACUCGAUAUAACGAUUCGUUCGCGGUUAGACGAAGCGUCGCCGAGCAAAGACAUCGAGGACGAUAGAUACUUCCGCAACACCGAGUUGUUCGGGCCGCAAAUCGAUUCGCAAAUCGAUUCGCAAAUCGAUUCGAAAAUCGAUGAGACUCCCGCGUUCACCGUGACGCAGCUGAUACACGCGCAGGAUCGGUAUUUCGAUUUAUCGAGCCGACAAUCGAGUGUUACAAGCCCGGGUAAAGUGAAAAGUUUGACGAAUAGUUUCGAAGUGCGCAGUGUGCCGGGGUCGGGGAAGGAGAGGACGGUGAGGAUUGUUGACAGUGCGCGCGCGCAGGAUGAAGCGUUUAAGGUGCUGUGUUCAACGGAAACUGAAGUGAAGACUGCGCAAGUGGAGUCUUCGACUACUCAACCAGUGGUGCCAACGUCAAAAAGGAAGCGAGAGUCGUCGUUCGCGAUCAUCGCUGAGACGCCGACAGUGUCACGGCCGUCCAGCCCGAGAUCACUUCCCGUGGAAAUUCGUCCGGGCAGAGUCUCGCCUUUCAAAGGUCGCGGCUUCAAGGAAAGCUCUACAAGACAUAACACGCCAAGAACUUCUGCGGCGAAUUCCAGAGCCAACUCUCCUCCACGAAGAAGAACUAACUCCUUGCCUAGAAUAGACAAAAUGGCACAAGCUGCCGCUCUGCCCCCGCCGAUACUGAAUCUGUCUUCAAGACCGCAUUCCCCUAGGAAUUUCCUUAAAGAAAACAUAGAAGAAGUAAGAGAAUUAAGUGAACUCAACAGAGAAAAGCACGAAGCAGAAGCUGAAAGAAAAAGGAAAGAAGAAGAGGAAGCGUUAUUAAAAGAAAUGGGACUUACAGAAAAGAAUGCAAAGAGUGAUGCAAUCAGAAGUGUUGUUUGUUCCCGCGCUACAUCUAGAAGUAGUUCACCGAACAAAAUUAGUUUCAGAUCUAGAUCGAAUUCCCCAUCAGCUAUAUUACAUUUUCAGAAUAUACCAGCUGGUAGCGAAGAAUUUAUUAAUGGGGACGAUGGCAUGCCAAAACAGGUAACACACAAAUCAAGAAUCAGAUCCGUCUCAAGGUCCCAACCGCAAUCUAAUGAUGGAUCUCCAAAACACUCUAAAAUACCUAAGCGACAAAGUUCUGUCUCACCUGCGAGAACUAACAAUUGGAGAGACAGGUCUAAUUCCAGAUACUCGCCAGAAAAUAAUUUGAACAAAAAUCAAAGAUUCAUAUCUAAUAGCACUAGUAGUAUUCAUGAAACUAUAAAAGUUGGAAGCCAAGCUCAUGAUAAACGUGUUAUAAGUAAAAGCACUCAACAUUUAAACAUUGCUCCGGCACAUAUAAAAGGAAAGCCACCAAUUUCGCCAGGACGAAAUGGUCCACCUCCAGCAAACAAGUCUAUAAAUGCCAAACGCCUGUCCCCAAUCGUAGGCACGCCAAAUAAAAGUCCAGUUGAAGAUCUGAAACCCAAAUCUGCCAAAACACCAACCAAACCCUCACCGGUGGUCAGAAAGUCUGUGAAAACUGCUGGAAAUACACCUGUUACAUCUAGAUUAAAUUCUAGACAGCCUAGCAGAACUGUGAGCAGAGACACUAGCCCUGACAAACGUAAAGCUAAUACUAAAUCCGUUUUAAAACCUACCACAAAAUCACCCACCAAACCUAUCACUAGGGCAACAAGCACAAAGACGACUCAUAAAACUACAGUAUCUCCAACCAAGCCUGAGCCCAAAAAACCUAUGAAUAGAACAAAUAGUAUGAAAAGUUUGACUAGAACUCCAAGUACUAGAACACUAGUUGACAAACCACCGCUACUUCAAAAACGAGAUAGCAAAAGAGACUUGACUGCUAAAGCUCAUUCAACAAGUAAGCUUAACGAAGUUGGAGCGAAAAAGGAUAACCCUAAACAAGAUGACAGAAAAUCUCUUAAAUCAGGGGUAAGCAAAGAAAAAAUAUCACCUCAGAAAAGCGAAAACAAAAAGAAGGAAAAUAAAACAAGUGCUAGGAAAACAGCUGAUACUACUACUACUACUGUGGAAGAAGUUGCAAAACAAGACAACGAGACACAGUAUGAUAAAAUUACAAACGAUAAAGGUGAAUUAGUCAUUCUGACAAAAAAGAGCGUAGUUUCUAUGACUACUGCAGCAAUCACAUCACAGCCUCUCGAAGUUGUAACAACCGUUACCAAUCAGUUGCCAGCAGCUUUUGAAAAGGCGAGAGAAAAAGGAAUAUUUGAGAGAUUAAGUUCAAGAGAUUCCUUGGCUCCCAAAGAAGAGAAGGAAACCGAAACUAUCAAAACAGAUACAAAAGAUGUUGCAGAUGAUAAAGAUAAAGACAAAAGCAAAGAGAAAGAAAAGAGCAAAGAAAAAAUUAAGGAAAUUAACAAAGAAUCUGAGAAAGAAUCUGAAAAAGAAAAAGAGAUAGAAAAAGAUAAACUAGACGAUAAGAAGCAAACCAAACCGGGGAAAUCUGCUGCUGCAAUGUUUUUAGACGACAACGUUAAACUAAAACCAUUGCAGCCACCUUUCAAUAACCCACACUUAGAAAGAGUCAGACACAAAAUUGACGAAAUUUUAAAAGAACCUGAAGUGUCCACUGAAAAUAUUUUGGCAUCAACUUCUAAAACAAUAAAAGAAACUAAAAGUACAUUCAAAAGUGUUGCCGAUAAAACGAAAACUGAUAUAAAGGAGGCCAAUGAGGCUAAAGAUGUAAUGGCGGCUAAAUUCAGUGAUAUAAAAGACCAAGCGGUGCAACAAAACGAUAAAAUGGCUGCAGAAAUUCGUUCUGAAGCUAGUAAAAUUGUGGACAGUAUCAUUACUCCUAUUGAAGAACCUAAAGAGGUAAAAGAGAAAGUUCUGGACGCAAUUAAAAAAGAUGUAGAGCCAAUAGUGGUCGUUGUUAAUGAAAAGCAGAAAAGUAUUGUUACGGAGGCUGAGAAAAUGACAGAAACUCUCGUCAAGGGGGAACCUGAAGUGGAGGUGCAGAGUUCCAAUGUAUCGACACCAGCGGCGGAGAAAAUGGAAAAAAUUGCACCAAAGAAAAUGACUGAUGGGAAUGACUCCGAUAAAUCAACGCACAGCAAUGGCGGGUUUCCGCAAAGCACAAGCACGACACCAAAACCACCAGCUCGGACCAAUAGAAAGCAUUCUAGAGAUGAAAAAACCACGUCUUCCAAUGAGAGCAAAGAGCCGACGCCAGAGUCGACGAAGCAGCCAAACAUAUGCGUUCGACUCAUGAGGAAGUGCAAGAACAAGUGCUGUCCUUGUUGCGUGAAGGGGGAGAGCGAUGAUGAGACAGAGAUGGCGGAUGUGGAAGCGCAGAAGACGGGAACAUUGAGUAAGCUGAACUGCUGUAAGAAGAAAGAAGAUGAAACAGAGAUCGAAAAGGCGGCAGGGAAGACAUCGACAAUAGAAUUCGAGAGUGAAACGAAACGCAAACGAAAAGUCCGCGACAUCUUCUGCGGGUGCUGCGGCCGGCGCCGGCGCGUGAGCGAUGUCUCGGACAUCCAGCCGCGGAAUAUCGGCGACGUCGCUGCCGUGCCGGGCGUUGUUGAUACGGGCUGCUGCGGGAAAAGGAGGCCUGAGGUUGAGAGGAGAGACAGCAUUUUAAGUGAUAGGCCUCCAGCGAAUUGCUGCACCCGGCUCUGCACGUGGCUGCGAGGCUCGUGCCGGAGACACUCGGAGCAGUCCUCCAGCCGCCGCACCAGCAUGUUCUCCAAGAACAAAAGCCUGUCACCCACGCUGCCGCCUGAGGAUACCCGCAAGAAGUUGGACCCCACCCUGGUGGAACAUGCAAGUGUGAUGCGCGGCGCGAUCCCGGUACUCCCCAUAGUGCUGGCAUACUUCUGCCUGCUCUGCAAUGUCGUGGUGCCGGGACUCGGUACUAUAUUCAGCGGAAUGUUCUGCUUGUGUUUUGGAAUCCCCAGGUUUGGAGUGCACGACGGCGCCAAACAUAGGAUAGGUUCAUUUCUGAUCAAUCUACUGGUGGGUUGCGGUCAGCUGUUCACGGUGCUCUUCUGCCUAGUUGGCUGGGGCUGGUCCAUUUGGUGGGGCGUCAUCUUCGUCAAAGUUGCGCGUAAAUACCGCAAGUUAAAAGCGGAGGCGGACGCGGAGGAGGCUGAAGCGGCGCCGCCCGUCACCGCCAACAACCACACGCGCGCGUAACGACCACGACACGAUUACGACACGAUCACGACACGACAAUGAGUACAAACCUAAAAUGGAACUAGAAAAAUAAUUGUUGUUUCUGCGUGCGAAUGACAUGACUAUAGUUUCACAUGAGGGUAAACGAUUAGAUACCUGAGGUAAAUGACAACUGAAAUUUUCGAAGACUAAUUUUUGGUUAUGUCGAUUUACAUUAUCGUAAUUUGACAUAGUUUAAGUAACAGUGGUUUUUUGUUUUAUUUCUCCCUUCACGUACAGCAUUUGAACUUAAGUCAUGUCGCUCGCAUAUGUAUAGGUACUGCCUUUAAGUGUUUUAACAAGGCUCCUAUGACUUGGACCUCAAGUUUGUUCGGCAAUAAAUAUUGAAAAAAACGUUUGAAAAUGUUCCUUUUGAGGAUUUUAGAUAUUAAAUAUAAUGCACAAAACAAACUUGAUGCCCAAAACAACUUGCAACGGAAUAACCAGAAAAUGCAUUAAACUGAUAUUUGAAAAAAAAUUAAAUAUUCUUGUAAUUUAUGAAAUUGUAAAUAAAAAACUAAGAAUAUUGGACACGGCGGAUUAAUUGAAAAUUGAAAAUGUAGAAUUACUUCUGCUGGUCAGAAAUUGUAACCGGUUUCACGGUUUUUCCAAUUUUAACUUCUAUUCGAAGUUUUCCGGUCGAUGUAUGGCCUUUUUUGAACUUAUUAUUAAGAACACUUCUUUGUACAUGGUAUUAUAAGCCCCAAGCGCUUGAAAAAGUAUUAUCUUAGUGCGACGUAGAUAGAAGUAUAAUUGGCCGAGAAUAUUUGACUCGGGCAUAACCAUAAAUCAGCGUUAUUUUAUAAAGAUGGAUGUAUAUGCAUAAAUUAGCUGACUUGGCGGCCAUUUUUUGUGAUAACACGCUGUUUUGGUAGAUUUUGUAUGGAGGCCCAGUCAUGUAUCACAAUGUAAAGAGAAAUUGAAAACCUGGAGUGUUUGCGCCAAUUAAUUAUCUGUGCGCAAUUUCCAUUGUAAAAAAAAAAAAAAGAAGAAAAAUCUUCCCGCCUUUUUUUGAACGUUUUUCCGAAUACACAUCUUUUUAUCGAGUCCAAAGUUUUAUUUCGUCAAAAAUUAUAAAUCAGGACUAGUUGUCCUCAUCAUGGUCCAAAACCGAAGCCGGAUGAAUAAUUAACGUGGAUCAGCGUUAAUAUGAACAAUUUCAGUAAAUUUGACGAUUAUUAAUAUCACCGGACUCGAGGCGGCAUUACUACCUAAAGGAAAAUUCUGCAGAUGACGGAGUACAUUUAUAUGGUGUUAAGUAGUAAUAUUAUAUUUAAAUAACUAACCCAACACUCGAACAGGCGAGUGUUGGGAAAUUGUAACCUUACGUUUGAAGAACUUAACACCACGUUAGUCCAGAUUGAGGCAAUAUUAAAUUCACGUCCACUGACGCCUCUGUCUUCCGAUCCAGCAGAUUGCACCCCAUUGACUCCAGGACAUUUUUUGAUAGGCCGGCCUCUUACUUCACUUCCACGGCAUGAUAUCAAGGACCAUUCCACUGCUUCAUUAUCACGUUUCCAACGAAUAGAGCAGCUACGCUAGCAUUUUUGGGCUCGUUGGAGUAAGGAGUUCGUGUCUGAGUUGCAGCACAGAACCAAGUGGCAAAAGGGCAACGAUACACUGAAGCUGGGUGCAUUGGUCGUCGUAAAGGAAGAUCAUCUACCUCCUCUCA